UGCAGAGUUGGUAGUACCCGGUGAAGACA
Molecule: non-coding RNA, 29 nt
Filed under: Mus musculus (house mouse)
Lineage: Eukaryota; Metazoa; Chordata; Mammalia; Rodentia; Muridae
Source: RNAcentral